Molecule: long non-coding RNA, 493 nt
Filed under: Salmo salar (Atlantic salmon)
Lineage: Eukaryota; Metazoa; Chordata; Actinopteri; Salmoniformes; Salmonidae
Description: lncRNA (ENSSSAG00000109331.1, ENSSSAG00075034824.1)
Source: RNAcentral
AGACAUUACGCCCCUGCUAAAAUCGGUUUCCUAUUGAACAUACUUCUUUCCGUAAGAAAUAGUAUAGUUUGAUUACAUUUUAGGGUAUCUGAGGAGUAAAUAGACAUGUAUUUUGACUUGUGAACCAAAGUUUAGGGGUAGAUUUUUGGAUUCCUUUCUCUGCAUGUUGAACGAGUGGAUUACUCAAAUUGAUGGCGCCAACUAAACAGACUUUUUGGAAUAUAAAGAACUAUUUUAUCUAACAAAAUGACACUACAUGUUAUAGCUGGCACCCUUUGGAUGACAAAUCAGAAGAACAUUUUCAAAAGCACAAAGACCAGAACAACCCACUCCAGCCUACAUACAACCAUCUGAUAAGUGUCUCGAAGCCCAGAUGCCCAUCUUGAUUCUGUCAAGGUUACACUGAGCCUGUGAGUCUAUUCUGAAGAAGACUCUCGAAGCCCAGAUGCCCAUCUUGAUUCAGUCAAGGAUACACUGAGCCUGUGAGUCUACU